GUGAAAUUGUUGAAAGGGAAACGACUUGAAGUCAGUCGUGUUGGUGUGAAAUCAGCCUUUGUAUAAUAGAAUUUAUUGUUAUAAUGAGCCUUAAAACCACCGUAGCAGUAAAGUUUGUUAUACUUGGUGUACUUUUAUAUCAGCUGGUUAGCAUCAAUUUUGAUUGUCAUAAAAAGGCUAGGGGGAUGUGGCUCCUUCGGGAGUGUUAUAACCCUUAGCGGAAUGUGAUGGUUGGGAUUGAGGAUUGCAACGGGUACCUUCUACCUGAUCUCUCACUGACGUCUUGGCGGCAACAGCUUGCUGAUGUCGUUAAGAUAUGUUAAUGAAUAGGUUGGAGUGGAAUAAUUCGUUAAGGAUGCUGACGUAAUGGCUUUAAACGAC
Molecule: ribosomal RNA, 381 nt
Filed under: uncultured Entrophospora
Lineage: Eukaryota; Fungi; Glomeromycota; Glomeromycetes; Entrophosporales; Entrophosporaceae
Description: eukaryotic LSU rRNA
Source: RNAcentral